Molecule: ribosomal RNA, 421 nt
Filed under: uncultured bacterium
Lineage: Bacteria
Description: bacterial SSU rRNA
Rfam family: Bacterial small subunit ribosomal RNA
Source: RNAcentral
UGGGGAAUUUUGGACAAUGGAUGCAAGUCUGAUCCAGCCAUGCCGCGUGCGGAAAGAAGGCCUUCGGGUUGUAAACCGCUUUUGUACGGGAAGAAACACUCCUACGUGUAGGAGCUUGACGGUACCGUAAGAAGAAGCACCGGCUAACUCCGUGCCAGCAGCCGCGGUAAUACGGAGGGUGCAAGCGUUAAUCGGAAUUACUGGGCGUAAAGCGCACGCAGGCGGUUUGUUAAGUCAGAUGUGAAAUCCCCGCGCUUAACGUGGGAACUGCAUUUGAAACUGGCAAGCUAGAGUCUUGUAGAGGGGGAUGGAAUUCCGCGUGUAGCAGUGAAAUGCGUAGAUAUGCGGAGGAACACCGAUGGCGAAGGCAAUCCCCUGGACCUGUACUGACGCUCAUGCACGAAAGCGUGGGGAGCAAACA